AACGAACGCUGGCGGCAGGCUUAACACAUGCAAGUCGAGCGAGACCUUCGGGUCUAGCGGCGGACGGGUGAGUAACGCGUGGGAACGUGCCCUUCUCUACGGAAUAGCCCCGGGAAACUGGGAGUAAUACCGCAUACGCUCUUUGGGGGAAGGAUCUAUCGGUGAAGGAUCGGCCCGCGUUGGUUUAGGUAGUUGGUGGGGUAAUGGCGCACCAAGCCGACGAUCCAGAGCUGGUUGGAGAGGAUGAUCAGCGACACUGGGAUAGGGACCCGGCCCAGACGCCAGGGGGCGGCGGCAGUGGGGAAACUAUGGCAGGGGGGCAACCCUGAUCUAGCCGUGCCGCGUGAGUGAUGAAGGCCUUAGGGUUGUAAAGCUCUUUCAGCUGGGAAGAUAGUGACGGUACCGGCAGAAGAAGCCCCGGCUAACUCCGUG
This 432-nucleotide ribosomal RNA is filed under the name uncultured bacterium. RNAcentral's name for it is "partial 16S ribosomal RNA". It matches the Rfam family "Bacterial small subunit ribosomal RNA", at positions 28 to 507 of the family's 1533-position model. The record is from RNAcentral.